ACCAACGUCCAUACCGAACUGAAUAAACUCGUUCUCGUCCGAUCACGAAAGUUAAGCAGUGCUGGGCACGGGUAGUACUUAGAUGGGUGACCGCUUGAGAACACCGUGUGAUGUUGGUU
Frieseomelitta varia is the source of this 119-nucleotide ribosomal RNA. The record is from RefSeq and is a predicted model, not a curated record. NCBI's taxonomy places the organism in Eukaryota, Metazoa, Arthropoda, Insecta, Hymenoptera, Apidae.